UCCCGUACCUACCCAUAGAUAUAUCUAUAUACAUAUAAAACACUGAAAGGCAGUGCCGCGUGUUUUUAUUUGUCCUUGCAAAUGGGAUAGAUUUGCCUGGCUGCUCUCUCCGGUCUUGGGACCGCGACUCUCUCACGGGCAACGCCUCCUCUCAGGAUAUUUUAAAAUCGUUAUAAAUGUGUGGAUUUCCUCCUAUCUUCGUGGGAAAGCAGUGUGUAAAUCCAAACAGAUUUUUAUCCGACUACCUCAGCCGGUGUAAUACUAUUAAAACAUUUUUCGGCCGCAGCAUGGCCAACUAUUUUCAAAUUAUCCAAGUGUCUCUUAUUACAAAUACUGAAUCUGAUAAAAUCUAAUAAGAUGCUGAGCUCAGGCGCUGAUCCUGUUCUGUGUGAGGGAUUCAGCCACAGGGAGGCGCAAAGUAAAGAAGAAAUUUCAAGAUUUGACUGCUCCUAAAUUGUGUUUUUCCAAUUGUGACGGCAGAUGCAUUGGUGUAUUUGGAUAAAACACAGCAAGCACAGUAACGUAUGACCAAUCUUGGCUUUUUUCCAGCUACCAAGGCAAAAAAAAAAAAAAAAAAAAAGGAUAGUAAGACUAAAGGAUCGCCUGGCACAUUUCUACUGAGUUUAAUACUGUGCUGGCUCCAGAGGCUGUUGGAUUAGCUGUGCAUCUCAAACUUGUUCCUGUAAGGAGCUGGGAUUUUCUGUCCUGCUGGUUUGAGAGGUUUUUCCAACAUACCCUUUUCAAUCUCCUCCUUCAAGUCACCUCCAUGGAACUGCUAUUGUUGUAGGAAGGAAGGCUGAUAGUUCUUUUUGGAGGUUUUCACAUGUUCUGGAUAGAGCUGUUCUGUGGCUCUGAAGGCUGCUGUGAAGUAUCCUAAAUUUUCAUGGCCUGAGGGAGAUGAGACCUGCUUUGACUUUAAAUAUGUAUCCACUCUCCAAAAUGACCUGAUAAAGGUAUUGAUCACUUACAUUCUGUGCCCUAACCCUGCACAUUUAUCCUGCACUGAUUGAAUGUGAGACAACAAGAACAUUCUGCCAUUGUUUCCUUCCUUCAUUUGCAGGAGAAGUGUUAACACAUUCUCAUAACACACCCUCACAAUUUUUCCAUGCAAAUAAUCAAGCACGAUAAACAUCAGCAGAGGGCACUAUUGAGGUAUAAAUAGAAUAAUAAUAAAUUGAAAUAAUAAUAAAAAAAAGGUGUUGCCAUGUGUUUUCAGUUUUCAUUCAGAAAAUCACAGUAUAAUUUACAAUGAAAGGGGCCCUGAAGGUCAUCAGGUCAAUCCCUGCCUCAGAGAGCCAAAUUGAAACUUAGAUACAAUUACUGUGGCCAUGGUAAUGUGUCUACAUUUUUGGAUAAUCUGUAACAACCUGCAAUCAGAUUAGUUUUUUCUCCAAACCAUUUUUGUAUUUAGUUGUGAGACUGGAUGCAAAAAAUGCCCAGAGCUGA
Pseudopipra pipra is the source of this 1446-nucleotide long non-coding RNA. RefSeq lists it as uncharacterized. Lineage: Eukaryota; Metazoa; Chordata; Aves; Passeriformes; Pipridae. The transcript has 3 exons. The record is from RefSeq and is a predicted model, not a curated record.